RNAcentral lists this ribosomal RNA (376 nucleotides) under uncultured eukaryote. RNAcentral describes it as "partial 18S ribosomal RNA". It matches the Rfam family "Eukaryotic small subunit ribosomal RNA", at positions 592 to 976 of the family's 1831-position model. The record is from RNAcentral.
CAAUAGCGUAUAUUAAAGUUGUUGCAGUUAAAAAGCUCGUAGUUGGAUUUCGGGGCAGCCUGGCUGGUCCGCCGCAAGGCGAGUACUGGUCAGCCGCCCUUCCUCUCGAAAGCCCCGACUGCUCUUUAUUGCUGUGGUCGGGUAGUUCGGGACGUUUACUUUGAAAAAUUAGAGUGUUCAAGGCAGGCCUACGCCUGAAUACAUUAGCAUGGAGUAAUGGAAGAGGACCUCGGUCCUAUUUUGUUGGUUUCCAGGACCGAAGUAAUGAUUAAGAGGGACAGUUGGGGGCAUUCGUAUUUAAUUGUCAGAGGUGAAAUUCUCGGAUUUAUGAAAGAGAAACUUCUGCGAAAGCAUUCGGCAAGGAUGUUUUCAUUGA